Non-coding RNA from Mycena epipterygia, 100 nucleotides. The record is from the annotation of a GenBank genome assembly. Lineage: Eukaryota; Fungi; Basidiomycota; Agaricomycetes; Agaricales; Mycenaceae.
GGCUCGGUGGUGGAUGGUUCACACCUGUUUCUUGUCAGUGAAUUGAAAUCGCUCCCCAUCAUGCAAGCAGGAGAAGUACGUUCGAUUCGUGCCUGGGCCA